RNAcentral lists this long non-coding RNA (2978 nucleotides) under Homo sapiens (human). Its description in RNAcentral is "HSALNT0169818". Lineage: Eukaryota; Metazoa; Chordata; Mammalia; Primates; Hominidae. The record is from RNAcentral.
GCCCCGACCCCGCGGUCGCCGGGGCUCCCCUUCCUCUGUCCCAGUGCGCCCAGCCCCGCGCUCCGCACCCGGGCACCCCCGCGGGGUUCUCCUGAGUUCCUGGAGCUCCCGGGGCUGGCGCUCACGCCGUGAGAGGGGUGCGCCCUUAGGGGGGCGGGACGGACGGGGGGUUUCUACGGGAGGUAGGAAACGGGCGGCUUGCAAGGCGCGGGCUUAGGCCGGAGCCUGGUGGUGCGAGGUCCCCAGCUCGGAUUUCUCCCUGGUGGAGAGUCCCGGAGCAGAACAAACCAGCAGAGGCUCUGGAAAGGGUCCUCCUGAGCACGUGGCUCAUUCAUUCAUUCGACAAACGUUACCUGAGCGCCUGCCCACUCAUUGCCCGAGUGUGCUGGGAGCGCCGCACCAACUGCCUGGUAGGUGGGAGAAGGGACACGUCAGGUAACAAACAGCACAGGUAAGUGCCGGCCACUCAAAUGGGGUGGAAAGAGGUGGCACAGCGCUGCCGAGGGAGUGCGUUCCAGACAGGUGACCUCUUGCUUGGGUGCUGAAUGAGUGGAGUUUUCCAGAGAGACCAAGAGGAAGCAGCCGCAGAAACCUCAGCCCAGCUGGGCUUGCAGAAGCUAAUGCUAGAAUAGUUGUGGGACUCAGGAUCUGCUGAAGUCGGGGGAAGAGAGAAGUAGGGAAAGGAAAGCCCAGGCCACGCGUGGGGCUCAGGAACGGCAUCCUCGCCCGAGAAAAGAGAGGUUAAAACCAAGACAUGGACAAAGCCUCCGAAUGAAGGCAGCCCUUUAAAUGGAAUAAAUUUGGUUUCAUGGCACAUUAAUGGGGUGUCUUCUCUCCGAAGACACAGAGACAACUACAGUAGGUCUGGGGGCCGUCAGGGAUUGGAGGAACGAAGGUAAGAAAAGGAAGAAGGUAAGAAAAAGAGGUCCCUACCUCUGUGAGGUAGGGACAGUGCUGAACAGCAGGGCUGGGAGAGCCCACAGGGAGGUGGCCAGGAUGGCCACAGGGCCUGGGGAGGACCAGGUGGGGCACCAUCCUGCGGUAGAGAAUGCCCGUCACCUGCCCUAGGGGCCACCCAGAAUGCAGAUUAAAUAAGUAUUUGGGAAUGGCACAGGAGCUUUUCCAUUUUCGUGGGUUAGAGGAAAGCUGCUGCGUUCAAGAGGAUAACGUGGGACCUGAGCAUUCUGGUAAGUCAACCCCACAUUCAUGGAAAGCCACGGGCUCUGUUUUACUGAUAAGGAACUGAAGUCCCACAGAGGAAGUGGCCAGGCUCACUCACACACAGCAUGCACUUGAAGCUUUCUGUGGAAAUCAGAAACCUCCGGGGCUCAGGCGCUGUAGUGGUGGCCUGGUGACUCUGACCCCUUGAAGGAGAAGCAUCUGUGAAGGUGCUGUCCAGGACAAGUAGGGUGCUCUACGGUAAAGGACAUGGUGGCCUGACCUGCUCCAGAGCAGGGAGGCCUCCCUUGAGGAAAUAAGAUAAACCCAGACUUUAAGGAUAAGCAGAAACCAGCUAGGUGAACUGGAGUGGGAACAGCACGUGAAAAGGCCCUGGUUUAGGAAGGAGCACCACUCCUUCAGAGCACAGAAAGGCCAGGAUGGCCGAAGCAUAGGGAACAACAGGAAAGUGACAUAAAUUGAGGCUGCAGAGGUAGAAGAAGGGCCUUAUUGGUCGUGCUAGGAAUUUGGAAUUCUGCAAAGAAGCCUGGGAAACAGAUUUUGGUGACACUCGCCUUCUCUUUAAUGUGCAGUUUCAGUUCUGUUGGUGUGAUUCUGCAUUGGAGAUGGCGUGCUGUAACGAAUGGCCAGGAGCUUAAGAGUCAUGCAGACUUGGGAGGCCUGGCCUUGCCACGCCCAGCUGCAUGGCCAUCCUCCUCCUGUUUCUGGCCGUUCUGUUUCUAAACCUUGGGGUUCUGAUAUUCCUACAUGUAAACUAGGGGCUGUAAUAGGAAUCUCACAGUCAAAGUGGAGGAAGGAGGAGCUUGAGAUUGAAAAAUCAGUUUGAGAAGCAGCCACCUUGACUGGCUUCACUCUAAUAGCCUGGACGCUGCCUCCACACUCCAGGUGCACUGCUCAGCAUUCUCCAAGAAGAUCAUUAAGGCAGACCCUACGUGUUAAAUUUCAAUCAGUUUCAUUGAGCAAAUAUGCUGUUAAAUAGAGACUGCUGUGUGCUGCGUCAGUGUGCCUUAUGGGCAAAUGUGAUGGUGACUAUAAAUGCAGACCAAGCAGUCCUUCCCACACUGUGUACACAAAGAAAGGAGCUCUGGAACUGGGAGCCAGGACAUCUGCAGGAGGAGAAUUCUGAAGUGAAAGGAGGCCUGGAUAUUGGUUGCAAGGCCUUGUCCCUGGAGCCUGGAUGCUCUCAUACCUUCUACAUCUGGGCCUCUGGGUCCAGGACAGUGCCAGGGAGAGUUCAUAGAAACAAAUGUGUUGAAGACCUUAGCGGUUGUCUGACUCUGAGACAGUUACCUGGCCACUCUUAAGUUUCCUCAUUUUUUUUUUAAUUUUACUUUAAGUUGCGGGAUACAUGUGCAGAACGUGCAGGUUUGUUACAUAGGUAUGCAUGUGCCAUGGUGGUUUGCUGCACCUGUCAACCUUUCAUCUAGGUUUUAAGCCCCUCAUGCAUUAGAUAUUUGUCCUAAUGCUCUCCUUCCCCUUGGCCCCCUGUCAGGUCCUGGUGUGUGUGUUGUCUGGCCCCCACCGUGUCCAUGUGUUCCUAUUGUUCAUCUCCCAUUUAUGAGUGAGAAUAUGUGGUGUUUGGCUUUCUCUUCCUGUGUUAGUUUGCUGAGGAUGAUGGUUUCCAGCUUCAUCCAUGUCCCUGCAGAGGACAUGAUCUCAUCCUUUUCAUGGCUGCAUAGUAUUCCGUGUUGUGUAUAUACCACAUUUUCUUUAUCCAGUCUUUCAUUGGUGGACAUUUGGGUUGGUUUCAUGUCUUUGCUAUUGUAAAUAGUGCUGCAAUAAACAUUAUGUGUGCAUGU